Molecule: ribosomal RNA, 721 nt
Filed under: uncultured bacterium
Lineage: Bacteria
Description: bacterial SSU rRNA
Rfam family: Bacterial small subunit ribosomal RNA
Source: RNAcentral
AGUCGAGGGGUAACAGAGAAAGCUUGCUUUUUUGCUGACGACCGGCGCACGGGUGCGUAACGCGUAUGCAAUCUACCUUUUGCUGAGGGAUAGCCCAGAGAAAUUUGGAUUAAUACCUCAUAGUAUGGUGACUUGGCAUCAAGAUAUCAUUAAAGGUUACGGCAAAAGAUGAGCAUGCGUUCUAUUAGUUAGUUGGUGUGGUAACGGCACACCAAGGCAGCGAUAGAUAGGGGUCCUGAGAGGGAGAUCCCCCACACUGGUACUGAGACACGGACCAGACUCCUACGGGAGGCAGCAGUGAGGAAUAUUGGACAAUGGAGGCAACUCUGAUCCAGCCAUGCCGCGUGCAGGAAGACUGCCCUAUGGGUUGUAAACUGCUUUUAUACAGGAAGAAACACCUCUACGUGUAGAGGCUUGACGGUACUGUAAGAAUAAGGAUCGGCUAACUCCGUGCCAGCAGCCGCGGUAAUACGGAGGAUCCAAGCGUUAUCCGGAAUCAUUGGGUUUAAAGGGUCCGUAGGUGGAUAAUUAAGUCAGAGGUGAAAUCCUGCAGCUUAACUGUAGAAUUGCCUUUGAUACUGGUUGUCUUGAGUUAUUAUGAAGUAGUUAGAAUAUGUAGUGUAGCGGUGAAAUGCAUAGAUAUUACAUAGAAUACCAAUUGCGAAGGCAGAUUACUAAUAAUAUACUGACACUGAUGGACGAAAGCGUGGGGAGCGAACAG